Molecule: non-coding RNA, 58 nt
Filed under: unclassified sequences
Description: pemK RNA
Rfam family: pemK RNA
Source: RNAcentral
AUAAUGAUACUUUUCUACGGAGCUGGCGGAGUACCCGGCAGAGGUGAGAUUCCUAUGA